Molecule: small nuclear RNA, 191 nt
Organism: Dermacentor andersoni
Lineage: Eukaryota; Metazoa; Arthropoda; Arachnida; Ixodida; Ixodidae
Product: U2 spliceosomal RNA
Source: RefSeq, a predicted model, not a curated record
CGAACUUCGACAUGGACGAUUCGGGUCAAAGUGCAGUAUGCGUUCUUAUCAGCUUAAUAUCUGAUGCGGGUUCUAUUUUGACACAAUAUAAUAAACUUACGUUUGCAAGUUGGCGGAGUGCUUGAAGCCUGCCUCACCUCCUCCGCGGGUCGUCCCGGUAGUUCAUUAUCCCCGGGAUCGACCACGGUUUU